GACGAACGCUGGCGGCGUGCUUAACACAUGCAAGUCGAGCGGUAAGGCCCUUCGGGUACACGAGCGGCGAACGGGUGAGUAACACGUGGGUGACCUGCCCUCAGCUCUGGGAUAAGCCCGGGAAACUGGGUCUAAUACCGGAUAUGACCUCUCAUCGCAUGGUGGGUGGUGGAAAGUCGGUGUCAUUGAUGCCGGCGGUUGGGGAUGGGCCCGCGGCCUAUCAGCUUGUUGGUGGGGGAUGGCCUACCAAGGCGGUGACGGGUAGCCGGCCUGAGAGGGCGACCGGCCACACUGGGACUGAGACACGGCCCAGACUCCUACGGGAGGCAGCAGUGGGAAUAUUGCGCAAUGGGCGGAAGCCUGACGCAGCGACGCCGCGUGGGGAUGACGGCCUCGGUU
RNAcentral lists this ribosomal RNA (399 nucleotides) under uncultured bacterium. RNAcentral describes it as "bacterial SSU rRNA". It matches the Rfam family "Bacterial small subunit ribosomal RNA", at positions 28 to 424 of the family's 1533-position model. The record is from RNAcentral.